Molecule: long non-coding RNA, 2802 nt
Organism: Aquila chrysaetos chrysaetos
Lineage: Eukaryota; Metazoa; Chordata; Aves; Accipitriformes; Accipitridae
Exons: 4
Source: RefSeq, a predicted model, not a curated record
CCGCCCCUACGGGGACGGGGACAGGGACGGGGACAGGCACGGGCAGCUGCCCCGGGCGCCCGGCAGCUAUUUCUGCUACAGCUUCCUGUCCUUGACCCACCGAUACAUUGUGAAGUUCUACUGAGUCAAUGAAUCCUGGUAAAAUGCAGUAAAGGAUUUAAGGUUAUCGUCUGCCUCUCUCUAACUUCUGACAUCUCUUUAUAACAAGAAAGAGUCACAGCCAACUGUAACAGGAGGGCAACACAAUGAAUCCUGCUGUAUAUCCUCUACAGGAGAUCAAAAACUUGCAAUGAUGGUUGUUUGGAAACUGAAGAGAACAGAAAUGUUUAAAGAUGAUAGAUAAAAUAUUUGAAAAUGCACAAAUCAGUGUCCUUUGCUGACUUUCAGUUAGACUAUGCUUCCCAGUGCACAAACUGUUUCUGAAAAUACAGCCUGACAUCCCCAGCCACCUUAGAUUUGGGAGCAAGCAGCUCAGUGUCUGGUCCGUCAAAGCAUUUAAGCACACAAACAGUCCCACUGGGUCAAAGCCUUAGUUAUUCCCAGAGGGAGGAGUGGAAGAUAAUUCAGCAUGGAUGACCGAGCACGAGGACAAGGCAAGAACGACAUGCAACUCAGGAGAGUCCCAGGCAAAGCACCCAAAUGACUCUGAGCACAGAAGAUGAACUGGCUGGGGAGCUGGUAAAUGAAAGAUCAGAAAGAUGCUGUAUUAGACCCCAACACAGUGAGGAGCUCGAGAAGAGGUGUCGUUGGGUGCAUGUGGAUAGAGUCAGCCGCUGGAGCCCGGGGCUGUCUGGGCAGCCAGCGAAACACAUGUGGAAGAGGCGUGAUCCCACCAGCAGCAAAGUCGACUUGGCAAAUAGGUGUCCAUGCAGCUCGACUGAACUCAGUGGUACUCCCCAGGGAAAGUCAGAGCUGAGCAUGGCUCCUGGGAGAGGGCUGUGUUUUAUCCCAGCUGUGCUGCUGCAGAGCUCUGUGCACCUUGAGGACGACCAAGGGAUGUCGCUGGGAAUCUCCCUAGAGUAAUGCUGAAUGAGCGCCUCAAAGCCUCUUCUUGCUUCCCGCCUCGAGGACAGCAUGAGGCAGUACUUGUGUGCAUUGUAGGACAUAAAAAGGCACUGGAUGAUGGGACAGAUAGAUAUUUCAUUGGGAAGGUUUGGGAAAACAGAGUAAAUUACAGAACAAACAUUUCUAAAUGGGGCCCAAAGAUACCCUUUAAAGAAGGGCCCAGUAGGAGUUCUGCAGCACCCACCCAGCCUACAGGGAUUCAGAAGCGAGCGGAGUGCGGGCACGUUACCUCCUGCCUUCGUGUGCCUCUGUGCAGGGUGAGAGCAGGCAGGACCUGUGUUAGAAACGUGUGCUGUCAGCAAGGCUGCGUGAGGCACGCCGACCGAAUCCUGGCUCUCCUUCCUGCACAGGGAAGAUCCAGGCACUGACUGGGAACUCGCCAUGCAUGAAGACAAGCAUCUGCUAUGGUCCCAAGGCAUGUCAUGUGGCUGCAGAGGCUGGGGAUGUGGCCCAAUUGUUUACCUGAAACUUAAAGGUGUUAGUGAGUGAUAAAUCGUACUGGCAAAUACCUUUGCUCUAUACAAUGAAUCAUGCUGGAAAUACCUCAGACAGAAAAAGAUAUUAUAAAUAAUUGAAUUUUAGAGGCCUCUGAAGUGACCAAAAAAAGUUUUAAAAAUACAUCUAGUGGUCCUGACUUUAAAGUUCCGGUCGUUGGGCCAACCAGGAUUCCAGCUUUCCCCGAGAUUUCUGUCUCCCACUGCAGUGGACUCCUACAAAGCUUGUUGCUUGAUAUGUAUAUACAUUGCCUAUACACAAAUGACAGCUGACAAAUGGGUAGCAAUAGGUCUGCAAGUGAGAUCAAGGGCCAGCACUUAGGCACUGAACCUAAGGGGAUGGAGAGAGAAGAAAGCGGAAAAGCUACCUGCUGUGCUGAGCAUGGAUGCUGCAGCUCUCAUGGCGGGGAGCAGAACUUGCUUGAAGCUGGUUUUAGCAGGUCGUUCAGGAACUAGGAAUGAUUUUUUACUGCAGUUUUGGCUCUACUGAGCCAGGCUGAAACACAUUGUGCGCCACCCUGCCCUCAGACCAUUCAAUGUUCGGCAAAUCUUCUUGUAAAAUAAUAAAAUAAAAAGGAGGCACCUGAAGCAAAAAUGUAAAUAGACAACAGAGACAUAGAAGAUAUAGAUAUAUAUAUAUAUGUGUGGUUAAACAAUGGAAGAACAAUCCCAGUUCGUGCAGGUCAAACACAGGACUUGUGAAAGGUGCCAGAGGCAGUGAAAGUGGUGGUGUGUGGAUGGACAUGAGCCACAUGGGGAACUGGAAGUUGCCAGCUCCUCCACAAAUUUUUUUCAAGGUUUUAUCAUAUGAAACACUGCGUGCCAGGAAAGGUACAUAGCUCGCUAUUGGGUACCACUUCUUCCCUCUCAUCUUUUUUUUUACCUCACUUACUUACUUACAACAUGAGCACCCCUUCUCAGUACCCCUACUCAGCUGGCAAGUUAUCUGGGAUGUGGAACAGAUUUGGGCAAGGACAGAGAGGCCAAACUGCAGGUGAAGAGGGAGCCACACAGCACUACUGCCUAUUCAAAUGGAAGCCCAGAACAAUCAGGCCCUUAAUGUGUUACAAUCCAUUUGACUAUCCACAUUUUUGACUUUCUGUAAAUAAUGUGCUAAAUGGAUAAAAGAAGAUACCAUUUUUCCUUCUUUCCCCUGAGUUACUGAUAACAAGACAAGUUCCUUCCCUUACAGUUUGUGCAUAUAAAUGUGAUUAAUGUUAAAAAAAAAAUUAAAGUGCCAAAA